This 777-nucleotide long non-coding RNA is filed under the name Olea europaea subsp. europaea. Lineage: Eukaryota; Viridiplantae; Streptophyta; Magnoliopsida; Lamiales; Oleaceae. The record is from RNAcentral.
GGAGUUUCCAAGGGUAACUUGUAUAAAUCUGAAAUAUGAGGAAAAUGUGAUCGCUAAUUGGUAAAAGGAUUCUUAAAGGGAAUGAUUGGGUAAGAUUACAGCCUUGGAAGAUAUCACAAUCGUGUGCAAUAAUAGAAAGCAAAAGUUUGAGUUCAAAUGAAAAAACAGGGUAUUUGUCAAAGGAAUUCAGUAAUUCACUAACACAAGGCCAGCUAGAACAACCAAAUCUACCUCAUGAAAUUGCAAGCGUCUGCAUCAGCAUCUGCAUCUGCAUUUGUAGAAUUGAGCUUCAAACCUGGAACAAGAGUUGAAUCUGUACAUCCACAAUGGGGCUACUUUUCAGCUUUUGGAAACCAGUAUUCAUUACUGAAUGGUGAUCACACAAAAGGCCCAAGAAAAAUUCUUUGAACAUGGAAUCUCACUAUCUCAGCGUAUCGAGAUUGUCUAUAUACCUUAUCAAGUGACUUCUGUGGAUCAAUUCAUAUAUUGGUGAAGGCAGCAUAUUGGCAGUAUGGUUCAUGGGAUGCAAGACCUUCAGUUAAUCUCAAAGGAACCUAUUCUGGUGGCAAAGUUUCCGAUAAUUUCCAAUCAGAAUUACAAUUUUGAUGCAUCAAAUUCACAUGCACGAACCACAAGUAAGUCGAAGAAUAGUAUUACUUGUACACGCAACAAAUUCACAAUCAGUAGCUGGAAUCUCAUAACCCAAUCCAGGAUAACUAGAAGGCAUAGUAACAGACAGAAUCUCUCUCUCUCUCUCUCUCUCUCCCCUCCUCACUG